This 380-nucleotide ribosomal RNA is filed under the name uncultured eukaryote. Its description in RNAcentral is "partial 18S ribosomal RNA". It matches the Rfam family "Eukaryotic small subunit ribosomal RNA", at positions 592 to 976 of the family's 1831-position model. The record is from RNAcentral.
CAAUAGCGUAUAUUAAAGUUGUUGCGGUUAAAAAGCUCGUAGUUGGAUUUCUGCUGAGAACGACCGGUCCGCCCUCUGGGUGUGUAUCUGGCUCUGUCUUGGCAUCUUCUUGGUGAACGUUGCUGCACUUGACUGUGUGGAGCGCUACCCAGGACUUUUACUUUGAGGAAAUUAGAGUGUUUCAAGCAGGCAUACGCCUUGAAUACAUUAGCAUGGAAUAAUAAGAUAGGACCUCGGUUCUAUUUUGUUGGUUUCUAGAGCUGAGGUAAUGAUUAAUAGGGAUAGUUGGGGGCAUUCGUAUUUAACUGUCAGAGGUGAAAUUCUUGGAUUCGCUAAAGACGGACUUAUGCGAAAGCAUUCACCAAGGAUGUCUUCUUUAA